CGCCUCCGCCCCUCGGCCCCAGCGGUGCAUGCAAGGAACCCAUGCCG
RNAcentral lists this ribosomal RNA (47 nucleotides) under Ophiopogon chingii. RNAcentral describes it as "partial 26S ribosomal RNA". Lineage: Eukaryota; Viridiplantae; Streptophyta; Magnoliopsida; Asparagales; Asparagaceae. The record is from RNAcentral.